GACGAACGCUGGCGGCGUGCUUAACACAUGCAAGUCGAACGGAAAGGCCCUGCUUUUGUGGGGUGCUCGAGUGGCGAACGGGUGAGUAACGCGUGAGUAACCUGCCCUUGACUUUGGGAUAACUUCAGGAAACUGGGGCUAAUACCGGAUAGGAGCCCCUGCUGCAUGGUGGGGGUUGGAAAGUUUCGGCGGUUGGGGAUGGGCUCGCGGCUUAUCAGCUUGUUGGUGGGGUAGUGGCUUACCAAGGCUUUGACGGGUAGCCGGCCUGAGAGGGUGACCGGCCACAUUGGGACUGAGAUACGGCCCAGACUCCUACGGGAGGCAGCAGUGGGGAAUAUUGCACAAUGGGCGGAAGCCUGAUGCAGCAACGCCGCGUGCGGGAUGACGGCCUUCGGGUUGUAAACCGCUUUCGCCUGUGACGAAGCGUGAGUGACGGUAAUGGGUGAAGAAGCACCGGCUAACUACGUG
This 468-nucleotide ribosomal RNA is filed under the name uncultured bacterium. RNAcentral's name for it is "partial 16S ribosomal RNA". It matches the Rfam family "Bacterial small subunit ribosomal RNA", at positions 28 to 507 of the family's 1533-position model. The record is from RNAcentral.